This 8959-nucleotide long non-coding RNA is filed under the name Gossypium barbadense (sea-island cotton). Its description in RNAcentral is "long non-coding RNA (GBAR_LNC008575)". The record is from RNAcentral. Lineage: Eukaryota; Viridiplantae; Streptophyta; Magnoliopsida; Malvales; Malvaceae.
UUUUUCUAAAUUUUUUAGUAUUUUAUAUUGGUGGCGCCAUUCAACAUGGCUCCACCAAAAAAUAAUUUUUUAAUACCCCUGGCUGACGUGACAAAGUGGUGGCGCUAUAUUAUAUGGUUCCACCAUUUUUAUUGUAGAAAAUAAGUUAUUUUUGUACAUAAUUAAAAAAAUAAAUUAUUUUAAUAAUUAAUUUAUUUUUUAGAGUUACUUUUAUAAAAAAUUAAAAAAAUAAAAAGAUAUGUCAUCAUCGAUUAAUUUAUUUUCUGUUCACAUGUUGUGUAGUCAAUAAUAAUAAAUUUAUACCGAAAAAUGAAAAAUAUAAAGGUUCGGUGGAUUCCAGUGUGUGAUAUGUCGGGCCCUACUUUUACCAGAUGUACACGUGGAUUAUAAAGGAAAUGCAAAGUGCCAACCAUCGGUGAGGUCAUCAACAGACCACCGUUUCUUAUAUCUCGUGUCUCUUCCGGUUUGCGAUAAAUUCACCACUAUAUCAUAUCGUUCUCCUCCAUUCCAUUUACAAUAAUUCUUCACUCAAAUACAUAACUCAUCCAUUUUUUUUAUUUGGUUUAAAUAAUUAUUUACUUUCAUAUUAAAAAUCUCUCAGCGUUACAUAAUAAUAAUUUGUUGAAACAAUUCUAUUUUUGUUCACUUAUAUAUAAGCGUGAUAAAAUUUAAUAUAAUUAAUGGAUCUCAACAUCAUAAAGUGUUAAGUUCAUUGAAAAGUAUUUAAAAUUUAAAUAAUAACAAUUUAAUUUAAUUUCAAAACAUAUGAAGAUAAUAUUUAAUUUUAUAUUUGACAUUUACAGGUGUCUAAUCAUGCACAAUAAUUUAAUUUUUCACACAAACGUACAAAAAAAAAUCAAAACAAAUUCUCUUCCACAUUAAAGCUUAUAUAAAUAAAUAUCUGAAAAUUAUAAUUUCCAAGCAUGUCGCAAUAAUUGUCCACUUAUUGAGAUUUGAAUGAGGGCAUGUUGCAGAGAAUUUAACAACAUUAAACUAUUUUUCUUGAGGCUCAACGGCAAUAUGGGUAUAAACAUGGUUGACAAUAGAAUUAUUCCCCAAUUAGCAAAUGCUAAUUUUAAUCAUGCUAGCUAAAUGGGGAAGUUGCAUUCAUACUUUCAGCCCUAUUCGUUCUGAUUGAAUGAUGGAAGCCUGAAACUCGUACAUAUCAUCUCUUAUAUGAUGAAACAACAAUAAUAUUGAAAUACUGACGGGACUUCUAGUAGAUGGGCGUCCUGUAAUGGGAAGAUCUGAACACAAACUAGGGCAAGUCUUUAUAAAGCUUUUAGUACAAGUAUCGACCUUUUUUCCGAUUUGAAAGGCUUUACUUGAUUUUAGGGUUAUAUAUAAAGUGUUCAAGACAUGUCUUUAUUUCGAGGUUGGAACUCUCCUACGCUAGAAGGAUUAGUAGAGGAAAGAGUUAACAUAUUCUAAAAGUUGGUUGUGGUCCAUGGAAGGAUUUUCCCGAUGUUUUGUACAAUCCAAAAAAUAUGUAAGCAACCACUAAUACACCUCUGACAAUUGCCUAGGAGCAAUAUGAUAAACUCGCAAAACCUUCACAAUUAGACCUAUUCAUAUGUUGGGUCGAGUCUUAACAAAAUUUUAGACUCGUUUGAUAGGCUUGGGCUUGGCUCGGCCUAGCACAAAAAACGAGCCUAAAUUUUUGUCCGAGCUUGACUCAGAUUGUAGAUCCUAAACUCGGGCUCGACCAAUAUUAAAAUUUUUUAUUUUAUUUUUAUAUAAAAAAUUAAAAAUAUAAUACGUAAAAAAAACACUAAAAAUAUUAAAAUAAAUAUUUUCCAACAGAUUAAAAAAUAUUUAUACUUAAAUAACACUAAGAUAGGUGCAACUUAACAAGUAAAUACCUCUAAAAUAGUAGUAAAAUUAACAAUAAAAUAAGAGUUAUGUAAUAUCUAAACAAUAUAAACAAAAUAAUAGCAACAUAAUAAUGACAAAAAAACAAUAAGAAAACAACAGCAAAAUAGCAAUUUUUUUUUGCAAAUUCAGUGCCCUAGCUAAAAAGUUUUACUCAAGGCUUGUCCUAUUUUCUAAACGAUUUUUUUUUUACAAAACUUAUUUUUAGGCAUAUAUUUUUAUCCAAACUUACACUUUCUACACCAAAAUUUUUUGAAACUCAAAUAACUAAGCUAGAAUCCAAAAAUUCUAUAUAUUAUAUAUAUGACUAGUUUUUUUACCUUCAUGAUGCACGGGCGGAUUGAGUGGAUUAAUUAAAAUUGUGACAGCCCUAAUUUGACCCUAGUCAGAAAGUGGUUUUGGGAUCACAAAAUCGAGUCACAAAAAUAAUUAAAUGUUAUAUCCUGUGAUUAUUACAUAUGAAAGUGCAUGUGUGAAAAUCUCAUGCUUUGAUUUUGCCAUUUGUGAGUGAAAUUAUGAAAUAGGACCUAUGUGAAAAUUUUUGAAAAUGCUAUAGGCAAAUUUGUAAUGGCCAAAUAAAUGGUAGUACAAAAUAGGAGGAUUUGCAUGUCAAACUCCCCAUUUUUGUGUAGUGGCCGGCCAUGAUGUUAAUGGUGGACAACAUGUGCAAAAUUUUUUAUUGAAGUUAUGGCAUAGGUAUGGCACAAAUUAAUAUAUGCCAUUUUGUAUCAUAAAAUGUUUAGGAAUAAAGAAUAAUAAGAAUAACAAAAUGAAAAAAAAAGGAGAAGGUUUGUUCAUUCUUGUUCUUCAUAGCCGAAAUUUAGAGAAAAAGAGAGGAGGAAACUCUUGAAAAAUUCGGUCACUAAGGAGGGAGAAGAUACAAGGUAAGUUCAUGGUAAUUUGCUUUUAUUUUGAUGUUCUUGAGUUCUUCUUGAUUCUACCUUAACCCAUGAAACAUAUUGUAACAGUCAAAUUAUUCAGUGGUGUCAGAAACAGUGAUUCGAGAUCACUAAAUCCGACGAGUAAUUUUAGAAAUUUUAACAAAUAAUAAUUAUAGGCCAAGCGCGAACUUAAAAGAAUUAUUUUUUAAUUAGUGAGUUUUGCGACUUUAAAAGAAUUAAUCAAGAAAUUAGGGUGAAAACAAGGUAUCGAGACCUCAGAUUCAUAAACCGAGCCAUAAAUAUUUUUAUAAAUAUUUAUGGAGUGUUAUUAAGUUAGUAUUAAAGUUUCGUUAGAAAAUUUUAACGUUUGGUUAGUCAAUUAAUUAAAAAGGACUAAAUUGAAAAUAGUGCCAAAUUUAUUAAAUUGUGAUUAAAUAGUUUAAGUGAUUAAAAAGGAGGGAUUUAAAAGGAAAUUGGACCCAAAUUGUAUGGGCUGGACGGUUGGGCAAGAAAAUCAACAAAAAAGACAAGGAGAAACAAGGGCAAAAUGGAAAAUUUUGUAAAUUAAACAUAUAAAACAAGACAAAUUUGAAAAAUCUAGAGAUAUCAUCAUUUUUCUUCAGCAAAAACGCCAUGGGAGGUCUGAAAGCUGCUGGUUUUUCAUACUUUGACAUAUGUGAGUUCAAUUCUUGCCCUUUUCUUUGAUAUUUUUAUGUUUUUGUGACUUUUACAAUUAGGUCCAAGUGUUUAAUUCAUUAAUUUUUGAUUUUAUGAACAAAAUUAAAAGCUAUCAUUGAUAAGUGUUGGCUGUUUAUGAUGAUAUAAAAUGAAUUUGAAGCUUUGAUUUUGUUGUUUGAUGAUUUUAUCAAGUAAUUUCAAUAGAAAUUGAUUUUAGGACCUAAAUUGUGAAAAAGUUGUGAAUUAAGGUUUAGUGUUAAAAUUCUGAUUUUCAAAGGUUGUGUAAUAGUUUAGAAUGAUGGAAUAAAAUGUUAAUUGAGAAAAAUUAGCUUAAUAGACGGGCUAAUUGAGCAAGGACUGAAUUGUAUGAGCUGUGAAAUUUAGAGGAAAAAUGGUAAUAAACAUCUUGAACUAAAACAGUUUUGGACAGCAGCAGUAGGUUGACUUUGAAAAAUCACCAUAAAUUGUAUAAAUUGAAUUAGAGGAUGAAUAAAAUAUGGAAUUAAAGCUUAUUGAGUCUAGUUUCUUAUAGAAGAAACAGUGUAAGCAAUUGAAUUGUAAAUUAUGAGAUAUAAUGAAUUUUGUGAGACAAGGUUAGAACGAAUUCGGGUUCCCCUGUUUUGGCUUUGGAAAAUCACCCAUAAUUGGAUAAAAUUAAUUAGAGGCUCAAAUUUAUAUGCUUAGAAUCCUUAAUGAGUCUAUUUUCAAUUGAAAUCAAUGGGAACAUUAUCUGAGUUCUGUACUAUGAUAUAAUUAAUUUUUAGUGAAGAGAGGUCAGAACCAUAGGAUAGUGAAACAGGGGAAAAUUAAAUGAAUAAACUGUACUAAUUGGAUAAACCAAAAAUUCUAAAAAUUUUAUGGUGGAAUGAUAUGUGAGUCUAGUUUCAGGGAAAAUUUACGGAUCUUAAUUUCGAGCUCUGUAGCUCGAAUUAUAAAUGAUUGAGUGACUAUGACUCGUGUGAACAGCUUGAUGUGAGCAUUAAUAAGUAAAUUGUGAAAUUGUACUUACAAGAAUGUUAUAUACAUUAAGGAUGCGAAAUAGAGAGGAGGAGGAGGAAAACAAAUGAUAUAUGUUUAUAAGAAAACAGUAUGAGAAUGAUACAUAUCAUGACAUGUAUAUAUAUGACUAGUUUCAAUAUGAUGCUUGUUGGGUAUGAAGUUAGAUUGAAAUGUCUAAGGCAAGUAUUUUAUUCCGCGCAUCUGAAAUGUGGUAUUUUAUAAAGAUAUGAUCUAGCUUUAAAUAUAUAUGCUUGAUGAUUAAGCUGAAAAUAUUUUGUAAGAUGAUAAUCAUGGUAUAAAAGUAUAAGUGGUACCAUAAUAGACAAGGUAAAAUGAGUAUGAGAGACACAUGUAUGAUGACAUACAAAUGCUAUGUUUGUAGUUUAAUUGAGAAUGUUUAAUCAUUAAAUGAAUACUAUGUUAUAUGCUUUUGAUUUUGUAUAAGUGUGUAAGAGAUUAAGGUCGACCAAGGCUUGGAAAAUAGCUUAGAUAUUGACCACACAGGCAGAGACACGGCCGUGUGUCUCAGCCGUAUAUGGAACACAACUUUAGGACACGGGCGUGCGAUGUGGCCGUGUGCCCCUAAAUUGAUGAUGAUGUCUUAAACAGAAAGCUCCACGGCCAAGGGACACGGGCGUGUCCCAAGCCACAGAGGCGUGUGGAAUCCACACGGCCUAAUCACACGGGCGUGUGGGUACUGCUCACAAGUAAACUUUUUUAAAAAAAAAUAAUUAAGCGAAAAAUUUUACGAGAAAUCAGUUGAGCUCCAACUUGAUUUUAAUGUUCAUGUUGGGCUUCAAGGGCCUAAAUAAAGGUCGUUAUAUAUAUAUGAUCUCAGAAAGUGAAUAGUAAUGUUUCGAUUAAUCUGUAAAUGUUCUGUAUGUAUUGGUAAUACUCUGUAACCCUGUUUCGGCGAUGGAUACGGGUUAGGGGUAUUACACAUAUUUUUGAUUUUUGGUUGUGUUGUGAGCAUUCGAUCAUGAAUGGAAAUGAAGGAAAUGGUUGUUGUUUCAUGCUCUUUUGACGAAUAAUGGAAUAUAGGUGAAGUUGAGCCAAACAAAUGAGCAUGCAUGUACAUUAGAUGCUAAAGGGAAAAAAUCGGCUAACAUGUUGUGUGUAUUAUGGCCGAAUGUGAACUUGGAUAAUAUUGAGUAAUGUUUGUGCUUUAAAAUGAUGAAGUGGAGAUUAUACUUAAGUAAAAUCAUAGAUAUAUGAUGAUUGAUUGGUGAUAUACAUGUUUAAAAAACAUGCAUGCAAGGUAUGUGUGAAAGAGCAAUUUGGUAAUAAAUCUGCUUGGGACAGCAGCAGUAACGUGACUUUGGAAAAUCACCAUAAAUUGUGGGAGAUGAGUUAGAAGCAUAGUAAAUUAUGUAAUUAAAUCUUAAUGAGUCUAGUUUCUUAUAAAAGAAACCAUGUAAGCAAAAUAAUUUCCGAUAAUGAGAUAUUUGAAGUGAUGUGGGACAGGGUCAGAAUGACUUCUAGAUCCUCUGUUCUGUAUUUAUAAAAUCAUUAUAAAUUGUACAAAAAUGGUCCUAAGAUGAAAUUUAUAUGAUUAGCCUCCUUAAUGAGUCUAGUUUCAAAUGAAAUAAACGAGAAUAUAUUUUGAAUUCUGUACAAUGAGAAAUUUGAUUCGUAGUGAAGAGUGGUCAGAUUAGUCAAACAGUGGAACAGGGGAAAUUUUAAGAAAAAUCUGGUAUUGAUUGGCUAAAUAAAAAAAUUCUGAAAUUUUUAUGGAUGGAAGAUAUAUGAGUCUAUUUUCAGGGAAAAUUAACGGCACUUGGUUUGGAGUUUCGUAGCUCCAGUUAUAAAUGAUUUAGUGACUGUUGCUCAGGAAGACAGCUUGCAGUGAAAUUAUAAUUAUGUGGUAAACAUUGACAAAAAUUUGUUAAUGAGUUGCUUAUUGAUUUCUUAUAAGCUUACUAUGAUCAGUAGGUGUGAAAGUCGAAUGUUUAUAUAUAUUAUAUUUUGAAAGUGAUGCUUGAAUAGUCGAAUAAUGACUAGUUUAAAAUCUUUGAAUUUAAGCUCAAGAGCAUAGAGGGGCAAAUUCGGAUAAGGAAAAAAAGAAAGAAAGUAAUCGAAUAGCCGUUGUAAUCGUUCGGCAACAUUCAAGGUAAGUUCUUAAGUUUUUAAGCUUGAUUCCUUUUCAUAUGCCUAAGAGUUAAAUUAAUAUGGCAAGGAGAAUGUAAAUUUUAUUUAGUUAAUGAGCCGAAUAUGUAAUGAUUUAAGGCUAUAAGCCGAUUAUGACUAUUAUGCUUAAGUUGAAUUGGAUUUGGAAAUUUGAUGAUUGAUGUGAAUCGAACAUAUAAGAAAUGGUUUCAUGUUUACGUUCAACUAUAAGACCUUGUGUUAAAUGGACAAUCAAUUUCGUUCAAUACAUUAAGUUGGUCAGGUAUGCGAUAUGUACUUAUGCAUAUUAAAUCGAUUGGAAUUGAAUCAUGAAUGUGAAUUGAGAAGCAUAGGUAAAAAUGCCUAUGUCAUAUAUGUGAGUAAGGGUAAAACCAUCGUAAAUCAUCGAUAAGGAUGGGCUAUGUGCGGAACCAUCUUAUAAUUGCUAAUUUGAAAGGUUAUGUGCGAAUCAGUGAGCAAUAUGUAUAUAUUAGAUGAAUUGUGACCUUUUGGUUCUACUUGAAUUAAGUUGUGCGAUAAAUAAUUUAUGAAUAUGACUUAUAGUCGAAUGGUCACUAUGGGUUAAGUUUGAAUGGUGAAAUGGAUAUGUGAUAUUUAUGUAUGACCUUUGAACCGAAAUGUAAAUGAUGGUGUUCAUAUGGAGCUUAUAUCCGAAUGUAGCAAAUGACUACUAAUGUGAUAUGUUGAAUGAGAUGUAUUAAUAUAUGAUUAAAUAUGCAUGAUAUUUGAUGUGUAUCCGAGUUAAAUCCCGCAGGCUUCGUGCUGGUAUUAUAUCCGGGAUAAAUCCCGCAAGCCUAGUGCUGGUAUUAUAUUCGGGCCUUCGUGCCUAGCAGGCUUCGUGUCGGUGAUGUGUAUUUGGGCCUUCGUGCCUAGCAGGCUUCGUGCCGGUGAUGUGUAUUCGGGCCUUCGUGCCUAGCAGGCUUCGUGCCGGUGAUGUGUAUUCGGGACUUCGUGCCUAGAAGGCGUAAUGCCGGUGAAAAGAUAUGUUACGUGAAUUCGGUGUUCCUUGUAAGAUAAGGGUUUAGCCGAAUGUUAAAUAUGAAAUGAUAGUGUAUUGUAUCAUGCUUAUAUGGCCUAAUGACAAGUAUAACAUGUUGGUAAAUAUGCAAUGUGCUUUUAUAAUCGAACGAUAAGUUUGAAAUGAAUGUGAGUGAAAUGUUAUGCAUAAGCUAUCAAAUGCUAAGUGUGAAAAUGAGAUGAAAGAAAAGUGUUUGAGAUGUAUAAUUACAUACGUUCGAAUGAUGUUAGUACUUAAUUGAUAUGAAUAUGUUAUAUGGAACUUGUUGUUUUGAUUAUUCGAGCCUUUGAGCUUAGCAGACUAUAAUGUCAGUGAGAUACUAUUCGGGCUUUCGAGCCUAGCAGGCUAUAAUGCCGAUGAAAUGAUAUCGGGCCUCGAGUCUAGCAAGCGUAAUGCCGGUAAAAUGAUAUGUUACGUGAAUUCGGUGUUCCUUGUAAGAUAAGGGUUUAGCCAAAUGUUAAAGAUGAAAUGAUAGUGUAUUGUAUCAUGCUUAUAUGGCCUAAUGGAAAGUAUAAAAUAUUGGUAAAUAUGCAAUGUGCUUUUAUAAUCGAACGAUAAGUUUGAAAUGAAUGUGAGUGAAAUGUUAUGCCUAAGCUAUCAAAUGCUAAGUGUGAAAAUGAGAUGAAAGAAAAGUGUUUGAGAUGUAUAAUUACAUACGUUCGAAUGAUGUUAGUACUUAAUUGAUAUGAAUAUGUUAUAUGGAACUUGUUGAUUUGAUUAUUCGAGCCUUUGAGCUUAGCAAACUAUAAUGCCAGUGAGAUACUAUUCGGGCUUUCGAGCCUAGCAGACUAUAAUGCCGGUGAAAUGAUAUCGGGCCUCGAGCCUAGCAGGCGAAAUGCCGGUGAUUUGAGAAAAGCCUAUGACUAAGGUACCUCGUGUUAGAUUGUCAAAUGAAUACAUUUAAUACGUUAAGUGGGCCAGGUACACAGUAGGUACUCAUAUGUGAGUUUGAUUUGAAGUGAAUCAUAAGUGAGUAAUAUGAUACGUACGUGAAUAAAUGUUAAAACUAUACCUAUGAUCAUGAUACAUCUGGUCAGGGUGUGAAAGUAUGUGAAAGUAUUUGAUUUAAUUAUGUUAUAUGAAUUCAGAUUAAGUGUGAUAAGAAUGCUGAACGUGCAUUAUGUGCUUGUGUAUAUUCGACCAGAUGGCAAUAUCCCUAGAAUUUGGCCUCUUAAGAAAUUGAAAAAUCGAAGUAUAAUUGCGUUUAUUUGUUUGCAUUGCUUAAGACUUACUAAGCUUAUGAAAGCUUACUCCGUUGUUACAUUCCUCUGUUUUAUAGAUUGUUGACUUCAGUUACCUGCUCGGGUUGGAGUUCACCGGAGAUAUUAUCACACUGUCGAGCUCAUGCUAUUGGUGUAAGUAAAUCCUAGUAUUUCGAGUUUAU